This 3393-nucleotide long non-coding RNA is filed under the name Homo sapiens (human). Its description in RNAcentral is "HSALNT0348572". The record is from RNAcentral. Lineage: Eukaryota; Metazoa; Chordata; Mammalia; Primates; Hominidae.
AUAAAUAACAUUAUAAAGUUAGAAGGAACUGGUUUCAGAGAAGGCUAAAACUUAAGGUGCUGCUGAUCUCCAUACAGAUAACAAGAAGAAAAAGCUCUCUACUGUUAAAAGUUUUUUUUUUUUUUCUACAUAAACACUUUGAGGUCAAAGUUUGGUUGAAAUGUUUUCUCCACAUUAUAACGACUGUCACCACAAUCAUCACAGGCACCACUCUCCACAACAGAGAUUUUUUAUAAAGCUUUGUCUUGAGAAGUCAGAACAUAAUUUCCCAUGGAAACAAUGUUGUAAUAGUGAGUGGGUCAUCAGGCUAGGCUUAAGUGUGUGUGAUGCAUAUUGUACCUUAACAAGUAAAAUGUCCCAGCUGCCCAGGAGCUCCAGGGAAAGAGGCUCUGGACAGCACAGUCAUCAUCAUGUGUGUGCGUUUGCAUGUGGGUGCAUGCGUGUGUGUACGUGUGUGCACAUGUGUGGGUGUGUGUGUGUGUGUGUGAGAGAGAGAGAGAGAGACUGAAAAAUAACAGAGGAAACAGAAACAUCAUGUGGCUUUUCAUUAUGACCUGUGCUGACAAAACACCUCUGACAUGGCAAUCCAGUUCAGACACAUGCAGAUUCCACACAACUGAAACAAAAGUCUCAUAGGACAAAACUUUCCCUUAAGACAAGUGAUAGGCCAAUACUUUCUCUUUUUUCAUUAAAAAAGCAGAAGAGGGAGAAGAAAGCAAGCUGAGCCUUGACCUUACACCUCACAGCUAUGGAAAAGCACCAUUCUGUUCUAAAUCGAGGAGAAAUGAAGCAUAGACAAAUUGAUGAUCACUUAAGUACACAAAUCCGCAGAAAGGCAACGUCUUCUAGUGGAAGAAAUAAAAUUGUUAACAUUUUUGGAUGAGACUACAGUCUGAAGUUCAGAUUAUGGUUCUUCUAUUAUUUUGGACAAGCUGUUAAAAUUCGUAUUCAUUUCUUAUACUUUCACUGCUGCAAUUUAUUGACUGCCUUGACAGAAUAUGAUGUAAAAGGAAAUUUCAGAAGAUUGUGACUUUUUAUAUCAGAAAAGAGGAAGAGAAACCUAUUUUGAAAGGACCUAGAAUAAUAUUAAAAAUGAAAGGCUGAAACAAAUGGCUCAUUCUUGCUUCUCAUUAUUUAAAACAAAAUACCAUAAUUAUUUUUCUAAUUUCCAGAGAAACUCCCUCACUAAUUUCAUUAUUUCAAGCCCACACCUAAGAUGAAGUUAAACUGAAGUUAACAUCAAACAGGUAUGUAUGUUAUCUAAUGUCCAUUUUUCCAGUGCUUUUAUCCUUCUCAAUUACAGAGCAUACUACAUCCUCGUUCAAUAAUAAAUAUAAAUUAGAAGACAGUAGCAUUCAAUGAAAUCACAUCGUAAUAACCACUAAUGUUUAUUAAGCACUUAAUACUUGCCAUGCACUGAGCUAAACAGAUUAUCUAAAAAGAUGAAUUUAAUCCUCAUGACAAAUAAUCCCGACAGAUUAAUGUAUUGAUAUUUUCAUUUUACAUACAGAUAAGGAAACUGAGGCCUAGCAAAAUUAUGUGGCCACACAGCUAUUAAGUGAUAAAAUCAGGCAACAUAAUGAAGUAUUUGAAAGUAACCAUAGUUAGGGACAUGAUUCAUUUCUCUCCAAAGCUAGAAAUAUGUCUGGUCAGGUACUGUGGAAAGGUCUGGUCUUCACCUGCUGCACAGCUUUAGCAGAUUUUAUAGUAAUAGUGGCAAGAUCCCUCAAUCAUUAAAGAGUAAGCAAUUGUUACUUAAGCUUUAUACCUUUAGGUAGAUUCUUUCAAAUGGAUAAACACUUACAUAACAAGAACCAAGAGUCAAAUGAAUCCCAGAGGUAAGGAACAAGUGUGAUGUGGGAGGAUAUUAGUUUUAUGAGGAUUUGAAAAACUGCAGUUAUUCCUAAGGGAGGCACCACCGGCACUUGUGUGUGUGUAUGCAAACGACUGUGUAGAAGACAAUUCCCUUUAUGUUGUACAGCGCUGUCACAUAUGUCACAAUACAUUUAGUAUCCGUUAACUGCUCCCCCUCCCAAAUACUAGAAGUUCUCUCAAUCCUUGUGACUACCCAAUAUAUAUAUCCCUACACAUGUUCUGCUGACCCUGACAGAGAACCUUGAUUGUUGGAUAAAAAUACUGGGAGAGAAGUAACUGACAUGAAUUGUACAUUGUGCUCCAGGGACUCUGCUAAAUGCAUUCACACACAUUCAUUUAAUUUUCAUAACCCUAUAUAAGUAGAUAUUUCAUCCCCAUUUUACGAGUGUGGCCCCUGAGGCUCAGAGCAAGGUUAUGCAACUUAAUUAAGGACACACAGCCAGUUUUGAAACCAAAAGUGUGGCUCAAAAACUACUCUACUCUAAGUUGGCCUUUUAAGCCAUAAUGGUGAGAGAGGUGUGACUUCCCUUUCUUUAAAGAGGUUCAUUCAGAAAGUAUAAAUCAUUCUAAGUAGGAACCACGGUGUGUACCUCCUUAUGAACCAAGGAUGAAUUAGUUCUCUAGGUUAGGAAUGAGGAGCCACAGGCGCAGUGCCAGAGUUAACAUGAGGUGUGUUCAAGAUUUGGGCUGGGCAGCUCCUAUGAACCGGUAUAUAUUAGAAUGUGUGUGUAUGUUUUCCAGGGAAUAAGAGAGUUGUGUUAUGCUGUGUGAGGUUUAUGUGUUUCAUUUAACACACAGCAGUUACUAUACCCCAGGCACCAUUAAAAUUGCUGGACAAGAUCACAUUUCAGCACGUAUGUUAGGUAAUGAGUGAGCAGGGUAUGCACCGCGUGAUGUGUGGCGGGCUGGUGUCUGUGCAGCCAUGUACACAGAUGAUGGGUAUUGGGCUGUGCUGGAAAGGAAAGGUCCGCUGUGAGGUGUGUGUUUAGAGUGGCAGUUUGUGCCGUGGUACAGAUGGUAGUGUUUGAGGCUGGGGGAAGUGUUAUGCUGGAUGACUUGUGUGCAAUGCAUACGGGAAGUGCUGCACAGGAAAGACCGUGUAUGCAGCACACAUGUGCAUUUUUUGUGCGUUACGGAUAGUGCCGAAUACCGGAGUUCCACAGGAAGGGAUCUAGGUUGUGUCCUGGGCCUGUGUAUGGUGCCUGCAGGCGCUGUGGAUUGGGGUGCUUUGUAUGUGUAGCGGUGUGUGCUGAAAGUGGUGCAUACGACAUGAUUCAUGCGGUGUGCUGGGUAGGGACGAAGGCUGGAGCAGUGCAGAGGAGGGGCCCGCGUCGUGAUGUUGUGUGGAGCGAUGCUGAGUGCGGUGGGUGAGGGGGCGAUCGUGCUAGGUGACUCGCGUGCGUUCCCCGUGUAACCGGAGGCGCUGUAUGGAGAAGGGGCACUGAGGGGUAGGGGAGCAGGCUAGCGUACUGUGAGACACCGGGCGGGCGGAGGGGCCGCGUGGGCGGCGGGCUGCCA